GGCCCUCUCGGUGAUGAGGACCUUCUCACAGACCUGUACUGAGCAUUGUGAGGACAGUUUGACUCUGAGGACGCGGGCCCUGCACCCGGAUGGCGGCCGCUGGCGUUUGCAGGGAGGAAGAAGGUGCAGGGCCCCGCUGCUAACAAGCUCCGUUCUCCGCAGGAGAAGGCGCGCGCUGCGGGCGCCGGAGAGGCGGGCCGUCUGAAGAUGUGCCCCUCGGCAGAGCUUCUGGCUUGGUGCAUGGGAUGGGGGCGCAGCAGGCCCAGAGCCUCCGACAGGCCCCGCCCCCUGAAGCGGCUCCCCCCAAGCCCCGCCCUCAGGUGAAGUUCAGCGCCUCACUACCAAUCCUGAUGAAUCCGAAAGCUUCCGGGUGAAUGCAGGUGGUCCUGCUAACUGCAUUCAUGCGUCUUAGGUGAAUCUUUGUUGCCUGGCUACCGGUAAAACAGC
Molecule: long non-coding RNA, 447 nt
Organism: Echinops telfairi (small Madagascar hedgehog)
Lineage: Eukaryota; Metazoa; Chordata; Mammalia; Afrosoricida; Tenrecidae
Exons: 5
Source: RefSeq, a predicted model, not a curated record